Molecule: long non-coding RNA, 6693 nt
Filed under: Sus scrofa (pig)
Lineage: Eukaryota; Metazoa; Chordata; Mammalia; Artiodactyla; Suidae
Description: lncRNA (ENSSSCG00005017373.1)
Source: RNAcentral
CAAAGACCUUUAAUUUCCUCAUCCCCCUUUCAGACAUUCUGUUAAAGAAUAAUCUCUUAUCAAAAUGGGUUGCCAAAGGGGAGGGGGGAGGGAGUGGGAUGGACGGGAAUUUAGAGGUUAGUAGAUGCUGACUAUUACAAUUAGAAGGGAUAAACAAGGAGGUCUUAUUGUACAGCACAGGCAACUAUAUCCAACCUCUUGGAAUAGAAGUGUGAUGGAAAAAAAUAUGAGAAAAAAAUGUAUGUAUAUGUAUGACUUGGUCACUUUGCUGUACAGCAGAAAUUGGCACAACAUUGUAAAUCAAAUCAAUUAAAAUUAAAAAAUGGACUACUCCAAAAACCUUAAUCAAAUUUAAGAAUAUAUACUUUUGAAAAGGCAUUUCUGAAGUGUUAUUGGUCAGCAUAAGCUAAGCUAACCAUGUACAAUGAAACUGCACCCUAGGAACUGUAAUACACAGCCCCACAACUUGAGUGAUUUCACUCCAUAUACCGUGACAUUUCGCUUAUAUAAUAAUUGGUGAUGCUCUGGGGGUGACUUCCCGUUGGAUUCAGAGACACAGGCUCUUUCCAUCUUGUAGUUGUAGCCUUCCUUGUGGUCUUGGAGUCCUUUCAAUUCCUCAAGGAGAUAAAGAAAGGAAAAGAAAGAGUACCCUUUAAAAAAAAAAAAAAUUGGUCAGUUCUGGAAGUGGCAGGGAUUUCUAGGCCCCAGCAGGUAUCUCUAGGCCCCACAUCACAUUAGUCAGACAGUCACAUGACGCUGUGGAGACCUAGAAGAGGACAAAAAUUGUUGGUUGCGCAGAAUGUUUCUAUUACAGAAGAAAAUUCAUUUAGAAAAUUAUAUAUUUUCUUUAGGAAAUAAACACAAAAACAAACAACACCUUUCAUCUUUGUGAAAUAUAUCCUUAGCCGUUUUGAAAUUAUAAAGUGCAUGAGCCUUGGAUUAGAAACCUCACAUAUUCUGUUUUGCAAAAUUGACACUUAGGGAGAAUUAUUUUGAUGUAAAGAUGUGAAAUACAGAAAAGUUCCUUUGAAUGACCUUCUGUGAAGUGUUUAAACCGGAAAGCCUCCUUAAUAGUUAGUAGUAAUGAGCCUUUUAAUUUUCUGUAGCAACAGACUCUGCUUACAGCAGGUGCCCUUUGGGUAUUAAUAAUAAUUUUUACAAAUCUCAUGUGUUCAACACAGAAAACAAUUCCUAGGUUUACUGAUGAAGGUAUUCUUGGCACUGCAGAGAUUUUGUGAUUUUGCACAGUUGAUGUCUGAUUAUUUCUAAUGGCAGAGUAGGUAAUGACUUUAAAAAUUCACACUAUAAGCUCUAAAAUUCCUAGUGUUUAGUUUCAUUGUACAUAAUUUUGCUUACUGUAUCAUUAAAUCUAUUUAGGUAAUGAGGCAAAACAUUUUCUGAAGCAUGGUGGGAAAGUAGAAGAAUACAUUAAAGAUAAUGCAUGACUGAUUAUUUUGUAUGCUUCUUAUUUUUUUAAAAAUAAAAACACAUUCUUGGAUCAAGAUAGACCACCUAGAUAUUUAAAGUGAUUUCAACCUAGAUAUUUAAACUGUAAAACCUAUUUAUCCUCUUGAGAGAUAAGUGGAACAUUUAAAUUCUCCCCUGUCCCUAGGCUUAGUUUUUCCAUAGUAUGUAACUUGUAAAUAUUGAUGUAUCUCUACUUUGAUGAGUAUUGAUUAUAAACUCUCAUGUGUAAGCCAUCACUUUAGGCCUUGAGAGAAAUACCAUGUUGAAUCAAACUUGGAUUUGCUUUUCCAAAAGCUUACAUAUACCAAUUGAAAUAAUAUAAGCACCAUAAGCUGCAGCGCAAGAUAGAUAUGAUAAUAAGGAAAAUGAAGCUAAUAGGACAGGGGUUAAGAAGGAGAAGGAUGGGGGAAAAUAAAAGAAAAACCUUCAAGAGAAAAUGUAUGGUUGAGGCGACAGAAAUGGAAGUAAAGUCAUCAGGAAAAUGGUGCCAAGUAUCUUUGUUUAGAAACAAGAGGCUUGAGUUAGUAAGGUAAAGUGAAUGAUAAACAGAAACUGGAAAACCUUUGCAAUGGACAUUGGAACAAGGAAAUGUUAGCGUGACACCUCUGAAUGUGAUGGGCAGGCCGGUGAGAUCAAGGUCUAACAACAGAGAAUGAAUUUAAAAGAAUAAUGUGGUUGGAAAUAGUGGCGUUUUGACUCCCACAUUCAGACUUGAUUAUUGGCAAGGCCAGAACUGCCAUUUGCAUGGAAGCUGACCGUGCGGUGAAAUGCUCUGGAGCUUGUAAAAACAGACCAUGGAAUCCAGAUGAGACCCUGCACGUAUUAUCAAUUUCAUGACCCCUAUUCUUGUCCUGACAUCUAAACCUCCCUCUUCUAAGAGAAUCGGCAGGAAGAAUGAAAGUUUUAAAGUCAGAGUCAAAUGCUCGCUCUAUCACAAAUUAGCAGUAUAAUUUGGACAUUUCUUUGUCUCAGCCUAAAAUUACUUUAAAAUAAAACUGAGGAGAAUUCCUGAUUUGCAGACCUAUUGUUAGAAGUAAGUGAAAUAAUAAUGUGUGUGCAGGUAAAAACCUAAAACAAUAUAAGCACAAAGAAGGUCUGGCAUAAUUACUCAUUCCCUUGCUCCCCUACUUUGACAUAAGGGUCAAUUUCCCCCCUUCUCUUCCUUCCUUCCUGUGUUUUGAAUGACAGAGGAAUGGUUGUGGUGUAAAAUAACAUGCUAUAGGAUUUCUCUGCCUUACUUUACAGUAUAGCAAAGAAAAAGUGUGAAUCCAAAGCAAAGCUCCUUGGAAUCUUAUUUAGGACUUAAAAGGAGUUGAGUGUAGAAGAAAUGCUCAGAGAUAUAAAAGAGAGAAAACUCUAAACCCAAGGACACUGUGGUAGAAAUCAAGGUCAGGGAAUAUAAUGAGGCAUGACUUAGGUGAGGCAUGAUCAGAGGCUUUGCUGACCUUAAUGUCCAUUUAGGUGGAAGCAUGGAUUGAUGCUUGUCAGUAAAAAGAGCACUGAAACUUUGAAAUGCUAAUUUCUGCAGUGGUGAUGGGUGGUCAUUUGAUUGAAGACAGUUUUGUAUUUCAGGAAAGAUAUAUUUUAGAUGGAUGAAGUAGGGUGGAGAACUAUGGAAAAUAAUAAUUGAAGAGUAUGUACAUUUUUUUUUCUUUCAGAACACUCUACUUAUUGAGUAAAACAAUUUCCUUUAGUAUUUGGAAAAAAUCUUGCAAGGUAGAUAUUAUUUAUAUUCUCUUUUGCUUUUCUUUCUUAGCCUCAGUUUCUCCAUCUAUUAAAAACUAGGAUACUGGUACCUACAUAAUAGGAUUAUUUGAGGGAAAAAAAAAAAAAAAGAGAGAGUUGAUUACACAAAGCACUUGGUUCAGUGCCUGAAACGUAUUAGGCUCUCUUCCACAGAUGGUAGCUCUUAUAAUUAUUCCUAUUAUUCUUAUUUAAGAAAUACAGAAUCUGAGACUCAGGAAGAUUUUAUAAUCUAAGAUCAUGACAUAAAUAAGUACCAGUCGGUACUAGAAUUUAAACCUGUUCGAGGACAAUACCUGUACUCUUUCCAGCUUAUCACAUUUAGUUUUUAACUUCCCUCAAAGCAUUUAGUCCUUGAAGCCAAACACUAUAGCAAUAACACUCAGGGAAAGAAUGUGUGUUUUCACUCAUGCACUGUUAUUUUUAAAAGUCUAGGAGGUACUUAGGCUUUCUAUGAUUUUUUUUUAACUCCUAAGUUAACAUAAUAAAUAAUUUUACUAGGAAAUGUUAAUCCUAUUUAUGAUGCUGGUAAUAUCUUGUUCUUUUUUGGGCAGCUUAAUGAAAUGCAUGAUUCUGUGUCAUUUUUCUCUCAAGAGAUAUGCAAGAAAAGGAAAAGGUUAACAUAAAUUUCAUGGAAUUUUCAGAGAAAUUGCCUCACAUAUAGGACACAUUGCAUUUAACAUCUUGCAUAGCAUCUGCCCUUAAUUUGCAGCUAUGAAAAGCUAAAUGAAAUGGCUAUUAGUUUACACACAGCAUUAGGAGAGUGACUUGUUUCUUAAUGUAGUUCUAGUACGAAUUGGAAGAAAUCCCAACUCUGGCAAAGAGUAUAAGGAUUUGGAAGAAUUUUUGUUUGCUUGUCAUUCAGCUGAAAUGUUUUGAACCCACUCAACUAGGAUUCACAGUGUUGUAUUGUUCUUUAAGUGCCAAGCAUAUCUAUGAGAUUUGUAUUGAAGUGGACAAUUUAUUUUGUAAUUAUCAUAGGUAGUUAACAGAUGAAUGAAAGUAGAAAUGUUUCCCUUUGCCUAUUAUUUAAUAGUCUAUUUCUCUAAAAUCUCUAUUCACACUACAAUAUAUGUCCCCAAAUAUGUUUAAAGUUGUUCUUCCCCAAAUAUAUCAAGAUCCAAUUUCUCCAUUAUUUCAUAAAUUCUAAGCCUAGUGAAUUUUAAUUAAGGUUGCCUUUUCAAAGGUCAGUCUUUGUAAAGGUAAAACUUAACAGAAUAUAGUUUAUGACACCCACUGAAAAGAUAAAUAGUAAAAAUAUCUUUACUAAAAUCUUUGUGGAAAAUGCUAGAAGUGUUCGGGACAUACAGACCAGAAAAAGUAAGGACAUUUAAGAAGUAAGAUACUAAUAUUUUUAGACAACCACUUGUGAGGUAAACAUGUUUAGAAUUUCAUACAAUUACCGUUACCUGUACAUAUAAUAAUCAGGUGCUGUUAUGUGACAUGAUUUACAUUGCCAUUAAUGAAAUGCCAAACAGCAUCGAGGUUUCAUUGACUUUGGAGUAGCCCAAAUGCUUGAGAGGAUUAGAUCUGUAUUAAUAACUCAUUAAACCCCUUUGACUUUCUCCCUUUGUUCCCAGUCAUCUGCAAGAUUUUUCCUGAGCUCCCCUCCAAUCCUGGAAAUGUUAUUUGAAUUCACUUUCUAAGUACCAUUUUAUUUCCCUUUCUUUUUGUACCACAAGUUGUACCUUUGAUGUAUUUAAAUUUAAACCUCUCAUUUUGAUGUGGAAGUGAAGGAACAUGAAUUCCUGAGGCUAUGAUCUGAAAGACAACAGCCAGCCUAGCAGCAAGAGAAGUUGAGAUAACAACAGUGGGCAUACCAAAAUGAGCAUGCUGUGAAGACACGUGUUCCUAGUUUUAUGAACAUAUUAUGGAGCUGACAGAUGCUAUGAUAAAUUUGUAUAAAGACAUUGUCUGCAGCAUAAUUUUUAUGUAUUCCCUUUAAAGCUGUAAAUGUAUGUGUCUGUGAGCAAAUAUGUAUUAGCAUACGUGCCGUUCUGCCUGCCUCGUUUACUUUCUUUGGGACACAACAUUCUGCCACCUUGGCAUCCCACAGAAUUUAAAAGUUUCUGCACAUCACUGAUAUUUGUAACACCUCUUAUUUUCUCCAUAGAAAAAAAAUGUUGCAUUAUUAUCCAGCCUUCCUUCGCAGGUGAAAAUGUGAAACACACAUCCAAACACACACACACAUACAUGCACACAUACACACGCCUGUGUUCUUAGAGCUUGACCUAAUGUUGAAUGUCCACAACAUUAAAAUAAAUACAUUCAAUGAGGUCACAGAGCCGAUGACUUAGUUGAUUUAUAAUUCUGUUAAUUAAUAGAAGUAAUCUGUUUGAUAGUCUUUUCACAAGAGUUUCCCAUGACCACAUUUUAAAUAAAUGUUAGUGUAAGCAGCUAACAACUAUUCCUAAGCCUUUCUACAAAGCUAAUCUAAUGCAGUUAUUGCACUAGUAUCCUCUGCCCAAGUCCCGCAGAAUGUUCGUGAUUUGCCAUAAGGAAACCCAGCCCAAGCUUUGCUGACUGUUAAGAUAAAUUUAUCUUUACCAGACUCAACUCUUAGUGCCUCUCUGCUAAGUCUUGAUGAAGUAGCUAAAUUAAUCCCCCCAAGGACUCUUUAAAUUGCCAGCUGAGCUUCCUUGGAACCUUCUCACAAACAGGCUUUAUGUUCUGUGUGAAGAAAAUUCCACUUUGCAUUUGAUCAGACACCUUGGUUAGCUUGAGUGUUGACACGGUAACCUACAGUAUAUUGUAUUCGACAUUAUUUUUUCAAAAUUCUGAAAAAAGCCCUAGAUUUACAUGUAUAUAUGUAUGUGUAUAUGUGUUUGUUUACAUUCAUAAUAUUCAUAUAUAUUUAUAUAUAUACAUUUUGUAUAUGUAAGUAUAUAUAUUCAUUAAAAUGUAUUCUUAAGGAAAACCUGGUUUUGUAGGCUCCAUUGAAAUUGCUGUAUGUAACUUUUCACAUUGUUACCAAACCUGCUUUGUAUCAAUCCUGCCUAUUUUUUAUUGCUAUUUUAUCAUCUUGAUUCAAUUUAACUGUAGAAAUGCUUGAAUUUCCUGUGGAAAUUAAGUUAGCCAAUUGAAUUUUAGGUAUAGCAACUCUUUUAUAUAUAGAUGAGUUAUUAAUGGCUAUGAUCAUUUAAUACCUUUUAUAACUUUUAGUUUUAAUUUAAUUUUUUCUUUUAAAAUAUAAAAGAAAUAUGCUAGAAAGUGUUCUUGGGAUUUCCAGUUGUGGCCCAGUGGCAACGAACCUGACUAGUAACCAAGAGGAUGCCGGUUCAAUCCCUGGCCUGGCCUUGCUCAGUGGAUUAAGUAUCUAGCAUUGCUGCAAGCUGUGGUGUAGGUCCCAGACAGGGCUCGGAUCCCAUAUUGCUUUGGCUGUGGUGUAGGCUGGCAGCUGCAUCCUGAUUCGACCCCUAGCCUGGGAACAUCCAUAUGCUGCAGGCGUGACCUGAAAAGGCAAAAAAAAAAAAAAAAAAAAAA